AGUGAACGCUGGCGGUAGGCCUAACACAUGCAAGUCGAACGGCAGCACAGUAAGAGCUUGCUCUUACGGGUGGCGAGUGGCGGACGGGUGAGGAAUACAUCGGAAUCUACUUUUUCGUGGGGGAUAACGUAGGGAAACUUACGCUAAUACCGCAUACGACCUACGGGUGAAAGCAGGGGAUCUUCGGACCUUGCGCGAUUGAAUGAGCCGAUGUCGGAUUAGCUAGUUGGCGGGGUAAAGGCCCACCAAGGCGACGAUCCGUAGCUGGUCUGAGAGGAUGAUCAGCCACACUGGAACUGAGACACGGUCCAGACUCCUACGGGAGGCAGCAGUGGGGAAUAUUGGACAAUGGGCGCAAGCCUGAUCCAGCCAUACCGCGUGGGUGAAGAAGGCCUUCGGGUUGUAAAGCCCUUUUGUUGGGAAAGAAAAGAAGCAGGUUAAUACCUCGCUGUUCUGACGGUACCCAAAGAAUAAGCACCGGCUAACUUCGUG
Molecule: ribosomal RNA, 492 nt
Filed under: uncultured bacterium
Lineage: Bacteria
Description: partial 16S ribosomal RNA
Rfam family: Bacterial small subunit ribosomal RNA
Source: RNAcentral